GAGGGUUUAGCUCAGUGGUAGAGUGCAUGCUUAGCACGCACGAGGUCCUGGGUUCAAUCCCCAGUACCUCCA
RNAcentral lists this transfer RNA (72 nucleotides) under Camelus bactrianus (Bactrian camel). It matches the Rfam family "tRNA". Rfam says of the family: Transfer RNA (tRNA) molecules are approximately 80 nucleotides in length. Their secondary structure includes four short double-helical elements and three loops (D, anti-codon, and T loops). The record is from Rfam by way of RNAcentral. Lineage: Eukaryota; Metazoa; Chordata; Mammalia; Artiodactyla; Camelidae. RNAcentral also lists the same sequence under 2 other names.